AGACCCCUAUUAUAUUGUCUCACCUGUUACACCAUCUGCCACCACCAGCCGUCGCCGGAAAUCGCCCCACGGCGGCGGCGAGUCUCCAAACCACCCCAAAUUCAUACCAGGCAACCACCGAACUGUGCUAAAUCAUAUCCCUACCCCCAUUUCCUAAAACACCCAACGGAAUCCCUCAAAUUUCAAAUCUAAAAUAGCCGAAAUUGUCAAGCUUUCAUUUCUUCAAUUCUUUUCGUUGAUUUUGUCAUACUUUCAGUCGAAAUUAACAUUAGUUAAUGGCUUUUGUCAAGAGGCGUUGAUUAAUGUGAGUUUCGACUCAUCUCAGAUUUGUCGAGGUCCGGUCAUAUUGCCUUCAACUGGGCAGAGUGCUUUCGAGUUUGAUUCUUCGUCUUCAGAAAUGGUAUUUUCCUUCACUUAGGUCGUUGAUGUUCAUCUUUUCUUACAUCUCAUCCUCGUCUGUCUAUCCCUUUACUUUUUCCAUUUUUGUUUCAUUUUCUAUGCUUGCAUGGUUGGUUCCAGGUUUGUGAAGUCAGUAAUGGCUUCGGAGGCUGAAUUUGAAAACACAUUUCAUUUUGUUUGGGACCCAAAUUUCACGAGUCUUUGAGACUCUGCGGGUUGGCUUGUGAAACUUGGGCUUUCAACGACAAGAGAAGGUUCUUAAAAUUAAAAGGCCCAAGAGGGAUUUAAUUUCGGUCUAUAGGCCCAUUAUCCUGGGUCAGUUAACCCGGUUGGGUCCUUAGGGUAAUAAACAGGGUUAAGGGGGGUAAUUUGGGUAGUUUGGAUAGUGAAUCUUUGUAUAACUGAAAGAGAAGCUUCUAUGAAGCUGGGUGGAGGUUUAAAUUGAAUUUCAGCUUUUUUAACUAAGGAUUGGUUAGUUAAAACAAAAAUUUCAAAAGGAAUAAAAUGCAAAUUUAAUCCCUCUGUUGUUGCCCUAUUCCCUUGCCUAUAAAGGCAUCUUUCCUUGCCUUUCAAGGGGGGGGGGGGGGGGGGGGGGUUGGAGACUGAAAAUAUUAAAAAAGGGAAAAAUUCAGAAAAAUACAAAAAAGGGCAGAAAUUUUUACUGUUUUAUUGAAUUUCAGCUAUUUUUGAUUUCUUUUCAACUUCAGAAACUAUUUUUACUCAUCCGAGUGGGAAAUGGACUGAACUUGGUCGUCAAAAGUUGGGUCUAAAAUUUUUGCUAGGCUGUUGUGUGGUUUGAAUUUGUCAUAUUGAGUUGUUAUACAUCAUUUCUGGGUAUGGAGUUGUUUUGCUGGCUGUUUUGGUGCUUGUUCUUGUUGCUGCUCCUGUUGAUUCUUCAUUUCUUAUCUUUGUUCACUUCCAGGUAUACAUUUCUGCACUCCAUUUGAAUGUAAAGCUUGAUUUGGGAAUCAAAAUGGAAUCUGGAGCUUUGAGUUGUAUUCACUUUGAGUUGGAUUAAUAAUAUAGCAUACUUGUUUACUUUGUUUUGUUUAGAAAUUCCACUUACUACCUUUCAAACUAUGAACAAUGUGAUCAACGAUUUAACCUCUUAAUGUCAUACGACAUGGUAGCUUAGUCUAAUGUCCAUCUCAGUAUAGUUCUUUAUAUAUAGUCAUUUUUACUAUUCGUUUGUUUUAAGGUCAGUAGUUGGACUGGUUUAGAUGUAGUAGACCCAAGAUUGUUUAUUUUAGACCGUUAGAUCUGAUUGAAGUUAGUUUUUAUGUUUAGCUUAUGUCUUCUUCCAGAGUCUGAGUUUUGUAUCACAUUUUCUGGUGCAUUGUUUUUUAGAAUUCAAGCAAGGCAUUUGUGUUCUUGAAGAACUGUGAUUCAAAC
RNAcentral lists this long non-coding RNA (1791 nucleotides) under Nicotiana tabacum (common tobacco). Its description in RNAcentral is "long non-coding RNA (NTAB_LNC019072)". The record is from RNAcentral. Lineage: Eukaryota; Viridiplantae; Streptophyta; Magnoliopsida; Solanales; Solanaceae.